GGAUGUGAGGGCAAUCUGGCUGCAACAUCUGUCACCCCAUUGAUCGCCAGGGUUGAUUCGGCUGAUCUGCCUGGCUAGGCGGGUGUCCCCUUCCUCCCUCACCGCUCCAUGUGCAUCCCUCCCAAAGCUGUGAGCUUGGUCGAAGAGGACAGCCUUCCCCGAAUAGAGACCGAUCAGUCUUAGGUCAAGGGUAUAUGAGUAGCUGCGCUCCCCUGCUAGACCCUCCAAACAAGCUCUCAAGAAUACAAAUGUAACACUUUAAAUUUCCUUAAAAUUUCUAAUGAUAAAGAAGUAUACACACUAAAUAAUAAACAACAGAAAUAUUUAACUGCAAAGUU
Molecule: small nuclear RNA, 338 nt
Filed under: Erinaceus europaeus (western European hedgehog)
Lineage: Eukaryota; Metazoa; Chordata; Mammalia; Eulipotyphla; Erinaceidae
Description: 7SK RNA
Rfam family: 7SK RNA
About the family: 7SK was discovered as an abundant small nuclear RNA in the mid-70s but a possible function has only recently been suggested.
Source: Rfam by way of RNAcentral